UCCGUUAUUACAUUCAACGUGAGUCUGUUGCUCUCAAAUUUGCUUCACCCACCAGGGAGUGAGUGACUGAGUGAGAGAGGGAGAGAGAGAGAGAGAGAGAGAGAGAGAAUUAGUGCUGAAGCCAGAGCGGCGCUGUUGCUGUUUUAAGGGCGUCUCUGUGAGAUCAAGGACAUUCUUAGGUCCAUAUACUUUGUGUCACAGUUGUGCACAUUGUCAUGAAAUGGCUUUAGACUGUACAUUCUCUGGUCCAUGUGCCUGUGAAUGCAGGCAUCAGUUGCCGUUCUAAAUUCACCAUUGUUGUUGUGUGUUUGUUUGUGUUAUUGUUUGUUUUUACACCGCUGUUCUCACCGUGUGAGGCACUAGAAAUGUUCACGCCAACGCUGAUCUUGUACUCUCUAGCAAUCCCCCCCCCCUCUCGAGAAAAAUGAGACUUGUGGUCAUCCCAGUUGCGGCGGCAAAACCGAGCUCAAUUUGAGAUCAGCAGUGAUCGCCUUGAUCAGGCGAAGCGCUUUAAGUCGCUUUCCUUGAGUGCGAGUUUGUGGCUUGGCUUGUACACACAGUGGAGACCGAGUGGAAUUGUUUUUAGUGUAUUGAUCAGCGUGGAGCUUCAGCAUGGGUGUUUGACCUUACAACUCGGCAUUGAUCAAUCGUGGUUGUAGAGUCAUGCACCUCUGCCGACUCUCCGGCUCUGUGUACUGCUCCUUUGAAGAGUUUCGGAAGCCCCUUUGAUCACAACAGGUGUGCACGUGGUUGAAGUCAUACACCACUAAUGUGCCUCCCGUUCAGUGAAUCUUAUUCCAUCAUUCAGGUCAUGGGAAACACUGCCUCUUGUCCUCAUUCUAUUACCUGCACCAAGUAGGGGGUUCGGAAUCAGCAAGUUCCUCAGUUUGGAUUCAACUUUCCGCGAAAGGAAGUACAUGAAUGCAUGUGAACUUCUGGAUGAAAUGUCAGAAAAGCGCACGUGAAUAGCCUAUCCAAUAGCUGGAAAAAUUAUCAGUUGGCCGUGCACACUCAUUCUGGGUGCAUUUUUCUCGUUUAAGAAACCCCCCCCCCCUCCCUCCUUUGAAAUCUAGUUUCCAUGUCAGCUUUCAUCCUUAUCUUCCUCAUUCCACAAGGUGCGCCGGCGUUCCACACAAGACUAGAGGGUCAGCAAGGGUGUGUGACUCUAUAAUCCAAGCUGUGCUAGUAGAUCGCUUAAGAUCGAAGUGCACACCAAGCAUUCGAUUGUAGAGUCAUACACCUCCACUGACACUUCUAGUCUAUCUAUCUAUCUAUGUAUCUCGUCAAAUCCGCUCCUGCCACUACUGCUGUUCAUAAUGCCUGCAACCUUCAUCAUCGAACUCACUCAGUUCCCACAGCAUGGGCUAUGAACAUAACCCCUCUGUUAAACCCUUUGGAGAGGAGGAGUAGAGAAUCCUAUUGUGCUGUUUUACUCUAGUUGUAUACAGGGACAAGCCUAGUCGCCGUCAUGUGUAGGUUCACUCUAUUCAAGGUUGGAUUGUCAGCAAAGGUGUGCGACUCUAUAAUCCAAAGCUUGUGGGAGGAAUUCACCUCGCCUGUGACCGAUUGUAGAGUCAUACACCUCUACUGACCUUCCAGUCUCUUUGCUCACAGCUUCCACCAGCUACCGCACACACUAUUUCUCUCUUUCUCUGAGGCAUCGACCCAUUCAAAAGACUCAUGCGAACUCUGCAACUAGAAAGGUCAGUGUCUCCCGUCCCUCAUUGCAUGUCGUUCUAAAAACUAGAUUUGUCAGGUUUUCCUUGUUUAAUUUAUUGCUUUUAUUGGACGAAAGGCAUAUUUCUGUUUAGUUAAUCUGGCUCUAGCAAUGACAGGUUCAACAAUGGCUGCGAUUGAGGUUAAUUAGAUACGGUCACCUGCAGGAGUACCCACAAACGCCUCGAUUCUGUUGUCAUCGUGGAGAAACUGCCUGAAAAUUUGUGGCGGGCAAUGCUACGCGAGUGCAAGAUCUGUUGGACCACUCUUCAAGCGAGUCUGUUCGAAACCCCAUUAAAUCAGGUUGUAAUUGUUUUGUGACCAUGUCACCGACACACAAGUAGUGGUUUAGCAUUGUUCUUAGUUCCAUAUUAUGAAACUAGGCUUUGUGCUGGAUGACUACUCUACAUUCAGAUUUUCGUGCUGCACCAGAUCUAAGAAAGUAGCAUUGAAACCUCGCGGUAUAGCGGGGAGGUGAACAGAUCCUACCAUGAAAAAAUGACGCUUUGAUUUAGAAAAUGAACUCAGCUGAGAUGUUUUCUUGUGAGAAAUGGACCAUUCCUAAAAAAAACAACUGGUUGCUGAUGUGCCCGGAUUUUGCUAA
This is a non-coding RNA of Physcomitrium patens, 2320 nucleotides long. The record is from RefSeq and is a predicted model, not a curated record. Lineage: Eukaryota; Viridiplantae; Streptophyta; Bryopsida; Funariales; Funariaceae.